AUUGAACGCUGGCGGCAUGCCUUACACAUGCAAGUCGAACGGCAGCACGGGUGCUUGCACCUGGUGGCGAGUGGCGAACGGGUGAGUAAUACAUCGGAACAUGUCCUGUAGUGGGGGAUAGCCCGGCGUAAGCCGGAUUAAUACCGCAUACGAUCUACGGAUGAAAGCGGGGGACCUUCGGGCCUCGCGCUAUAGGGUUGGCCGAUGGCUGAUUAGCUAGUUGGUGGGGUAAAGGCCUACCAAGGCGACGAUCAGUAGCUGGUCUGAGAGGACGACCAGCCACACUGGGACUGAGACACGGCCCAGACUCCCACGGGAGGCAGCAGUGGGGAAUUUUGGACAAUGGGCGAAAGCCUGAUCCAGCAAUGCCGCGUGUGUGAAGAAGGCCUUCGGGUUGUAAAGCACUUUUGUCCGGAAAGAAAUCCUUGGCCCUAAUACGGUCGGGGGAUGACGGUACCGGAAGAAUAAGCACCGGCUAACUACGUG
Molecule: ribosomal RNA, 486 nt
Filed under: uncultured bacterium
Lineage: Bacteria
Description: partial 16S ribosomal RNA
Rfam family: Bacterial small subunit ribosomal RNA
Source: RNAcentral